RNAcentral lists this ribosomal RNA (496 nucleotides) under uncultured bacterium. RNAcentral's name for it is "partial 16S ribosomal RNA". It matches the Rfam family "Bacterial small subunit ribosomal RNA", at positions 28 to 507 of the family's 1533-position model. The record is from RNAcentral.
GAUGAACGCUGGCGGCGUGCCUAAUACAUGCAAGUCGAGCGAACGGACGAGAAGCUUGCUUCUCUGAUGUUAGCGGCGGACGGGUGAGUAACACGUGGAUACCUACCUAUAAGACUGGGAUAACUUCGGGAAACCGUAGCUAAUACCGGAUAAUAUUUUGAACCGCAUGGUUCAAAAGUGAAAGACGGUCUUGCUGUCACUUAUAGAUGGAUCCGCGCUGCAUUAGCUAGUUGGUAAGGUAACGGCUUACCAAGGCAACGAUGCAUAGCCGACCUGAGAGGGUGAUCGGCCACACUGGAACUGAGACACGGUCCAGACUCCUACGGGAGGCAGCAGUAGGGAAUCUUCCGCAAUGGGCGAAAGCCUGACGGAGCAACGCCGCGUGAGUGAUGAAGGUCUUCGGAUCGUAAAACUCCGUUAUUAGGGAAGAACAUAUGUGUAAGUAACUGUGCACAUCUUGACGGUACCUAAUCAGAAAGCCACGGCUAACUACGUG